AAAUAACUAAAUCAAGUUUUGCUAUAAUUGCUUUCGAUUGGAAUAGCAUUGGGAUAUAAUAUUUAACGGUAGGAAUUUCAGCCAGUAGGCUAACUUCAUAACACAAUAGAAAAGAACGAAAUUGCACUUCAAACACACAAUAAUCGUAAAUAAUGCUGUUGGCCUGGUAUGAUGCAAAGUGCGGACUGUUACCUCCCAUUGGGUGUGGUUUACUUUAUAAUAGCCCAUCAUGACUCUGCAUUUUAUUCAGCUCAUUAUUGACGGACUGAAAGUUUACAGCUCAUCAAAAGCCUUGUCCAAAAAUCCGCAGAAACAUGACUAACGUCUCCGUUGAAUAUUGUGCAGGAUGAGGUUAUUCCCGCCGCUUCCAGGAACUAGCCCGUGUCGUCCGGAAGGUUCCUGGGGUUAAUGUGACGGGAAAAACAGGGAGGCAAGGCAGCUUUGAGGUGUCAGUGAAUGAUAAGCUGGUCUACUCCAAGCUUAAGACGGGAUCCUUUCCUAAUCCUGAUGAGGUGGUGGAAUUGGUGAAGAAGAACAUGGGCCAAGGAGGAAAAGCUGGGAAGACCACUAUGUUUUAGAAGAUGGAGGCUAAAACAACAGCUGUAUUCACACUGGAAGAACAAUGGUCUGUUUUUUUAUGGCUGCUUAUCUGAAUACAAAAUUGACUUCAAACAUAAAUUUAGUUUUAACAUAAUUAUGGCCCAAAAGCAAAAUUCCUUAAAGUCUCACUGUCAUCCAUGAGAAGAUCUGACCAUAUAUCUUCACUGUGAAUACAGACAAAGAUGAGAAGAUGAUGAGAGCAACUCUCAGGAGCCAGGCACUGAUCUGCUCUUCUGUUUAUGAAUGUACACACUAAAAAUGAUGUAGUGGGUACACGAUGUCUAGAAGCUUUUCAGCUGACUGGAGCCUGAUGAACUACUUUCAUCAUGUCCGUCUGGCAUUUAAUCACAAAUAAAACGUCUUAGAGCUGCAUUUAUUCAGGAAUAGAACAAUUAAGAAAUAUAACUCUUCACCUAGACACAUAUAUAUUUUCCAUGAUUACUUGUUCUCUGUUUGGACUCCAAAAGUGUAAGGUCCGGAAGAUAAUUAGGCACACAUUUUUAAGAAUAGUUUGGCAUUUUUGGACAUAUGCUUCUUCGCUUUCUUGCCAAGAGUUGGCUAGAAAAGAUCGAUACCACUCUUACGUUUGCACGAUGAAUAUGGAGCUAUCGUCAGCUUAGCAUAAAGACUGGAAACAUAGGGGGAAACAGCUAUCCUGGCUCUGUCCUGUCAACACAGUCCAUCAACCAGCACCUUUCAAGCUCACUAAUUAACUUGUUAUUUCUAGUUUGUUUAAUCUGUACAAAAACCAGAGCGUAAAAAUGGCAGCAUACAUUGACUGGGGGUUAUGUGCUGGACUAUUUCUUGGCUUGGACCAGUAACUUCCUGGAAUCUCCACUACUGGUCCAGGCUAAGAAAUAGUCCGGUACAUAACCUCUCUGUAAAAUGUUGAAUUGUAAUUCUUAUACUUAUGGUUUUUGUACAGAUCAAACAAGACAUACAGUAGCAUGUUAAUUAGUCUGCUUUAGGUUCUAGGCGGGUUCUGUUAUCUCUGGACAUAGCCAGGCUAGCUGUUCCCCCAGUUUCCAGUCUUUAUGCUAAGCUAAACUAACCAGCUACCGGUUGUAGCUGUGUAUUUACCAUCCAGACGUUAGAUUGGUAUGCGAUCAAUCAUCUCAACCAACUCUGUGCAAGAAAGGAAAUAAGCGCCUUUCCAAAAAUGUUGAACUACUUUUUUAAUUUUUGGAUGAUCAGACAUAAUGUGAUACUAAUUUCCCCCCUGAUUUGGAAAGAUAUAUUGAGCUUUUAAUUUUUUCAAAGCACUUUCCAUCAACAUUAAGGUGUUCAUACAACUAUCAAUGUCUGUAUUUUAAGAUUGAAAUGUAAACUCUUAAAUACUUCAUGAACACAGACUCAUUCUUUUUUAACUGCUCUAUUUAAUAUCCAUACCUGCCAUACAAGUCUUAUCUUUUUAAAUAUAUAAACAGACAAUCACCUGGAUGGUGUUUUGCUAGGCACUGCCAUCUCUGUUACUAUCAUAGCGUUAUAGCAACUAAGAUAAACAUUAAAUCCAUGACAAAUGCUACAUAUAAGAUACAGCUUUUUUAUGUUGUUAUAAUGCUGUCUAAUUUGUGAUCAAUUCCAACAAAACAGCUUUUCCUAAAAUGCAAUAAAAUAUCACU
Molecule: long non-coding RNA, 2222 nt
Organism: Etheostoma cragini (Arkansas darter)
Lineage: Eukaryota; Metazoa; Chordata; Actinopteri; Perciformes; Percidae
Exons: 5
Source: RefSeq, a predicted model, not a curated record